RNAcentral lists this ribosomal RNA (704 nucleotides) under uncultured bacterium. RNAcentral describes it as "bacterial SSU rRNA". It matches the Rfam family "Bacterial small subunit ribosomal RNA", at positions 103 to 824 of the family's 1533-position model. The record is from RNAcentral.
CGGGUGAGUAAUGGAUAAGUAACCUGCCCUUAAGUGGGGGAUAACACUUCGAAAGAAGUGCUAAUACCGCAUGUGGUGCUCUUUCACAAGAAGGAUCACUAAAACCGCAAGGUGCUUGAGGAGGGGCUUGUCUCCGAUUAGCUAGUUGGUGGGGUAACGGCCUACCAAGGCGAUGAUCGGUAGCUGGUCUGAGAGGAUGGUCAGCCACACUGGGACUGAGACACGGCCCAGACUCCUACGGGAGGCAGCAGCAAGGAAUCUUGGGCAAUGGGCGAAAGCCUGACCCAGCGACGCCGCGUGAGGGAUGACGGCCUUCGGGUUGUAAACCUCUUUUCUCAGGGAAGAAUAGUGACGGUACCUGAGGAAUAAGUCUCGGCUAACUACGUGCCAGCAGCCGCGGUAAUACGUAGGAGGCGAGCGUUAUCCGGAUUUAUUGGGCGUAAAGUGGGCGUAGGUGGUCUUUCAAGUCGGAUGUGAAAUCUCCCGGCUCAACUGGGAGGGGUCAUCCGAUACUGUUGGACUUGAGUACAGCAGGGGAAAAUGGAAUUCCCGGUGUAGUGGUGAAAUGCGUAGAUAUCGGGAGGAACACCAGAGGCGAAGGCGAUUUUCCAGGCUGAAACUGACACUGAGGCCCGAAAGCGUGGGGAGCGAACAGGAUUAGAUACCCUGGUAGUCCACGCCUUAAACUAUAAAUUUGUAUAGGA